CUGCCUGUUACUCAGCAAGAAAGCGAACACUGGCUUGCUGGCUCAGCACUUAACCUGAGAUGAGGAUGUCCUAACAGCCCUUUUUCUCUAAGGGGUAGUGUAGGGUGGGGUGGGGCCAAAAGGAGAGGAGGAGGAAGGCCUGCCACCCGGGAGGUCCCUAGGACUCAGCAGCAGAGAGGGCCUUGCACCAGCGCUCCGCUCUGUUCCAGAAAAUAUCCUAUUUCUGACCAUCAAUCAGCAUUAAGCCAGUUUGGGGGCUGAGCUUUAGGCACAGGCAGUUGCCAGUAGCAACAGGGCACACGCUCCUGGUCCCUGGUUCCCUUCACGCCCCCACCCCCAGCCUCAGCUCUGUCUGGGUGGAACGAAUGUCUGCUAAUGAACUAAACAAACAGGUCUCUUAAUCUUAUCAUGGAGCUGACCCAGAGACUGGCACAGAUAUCCAAAGUAUCAUAAUUGGCAGGUCAGAAUUAAAACUACAUACAUCAUGGUGACUUUAUAGCUGAGGCAAAGUGGAGCUCAAGUGUUACUUUCCCAGUAAGCAAAUCAUAAUGAAGUAUCAUGCUGGUGACUAAUUUAACUAACAUUGUCCAGGAAAUUGCUGUUGUCCAGGAAGAGAAGAGUUGAGCCGAGUGUCAACUACUAGGCUUCUGGCACCAUCCUGCACAAGAAAUUGGAGCAUAAGGGACAUUUCCACAUUCUAACUUUACAUGAAGACUCAGGACUUUGAAAGCCCAUGAGAAAGUUUUCAUAAGGAUUUAUCCACAAUUUCUUCUUUGAUUUGCUCAGAUGUGAAGCAGGAAACCUUCCAGACAUCCUGAACCUCUGAACUUUUUGUGGAUUGCCCAUCAACACAGGCAAACAUUCAUGAAGCAAUUCAAAAAUCUCUUCUCACUGCAUUAUAAGCAUGUCCUUACGUUAUUCAUAUAUCAAGAGCAUGCCCAUUCCCAACCCACAAUGGAAUGUGAGCCUAAUUACAUGUUCCUUUGGAAUAAGAUCUCACCAGCCCAGGAGUGUCAGAAACCCUCUAUCAUAUAUACGUAUCUUGUUUCCAAAAUGAUCUUCCCAAGCCACCCUAACAGGCCCCCUUCAGAAUGCUUCCUGCUGACAAGUGAAUCUGCUUUUUGCCUUUCACCCAAUCUCAGCUCAUGCUUUCUCUGUGAAAAUAUCACAGACCACAUCUGACAGUGGUCCAGCUAAUUAAUGUACUCCAAUGUCUAGCAAGCAUUUGACAGGAAAAAUAAUCUAUACAGUAUUUAUUGCAAAAUCUUCACCAAUGUGACAAAGAUGAAUGUAAACUUUACAUAAUCAUUUUUCAUUUGUUAUCCAAAGUUGAAAGUGAUUUUCAAAUGCUAACUUUAAAAUUAUGAUGAGGAAGAUAACAGCUCUGCUUUAAAACUGCUUGGCAAUGGAAUUUCUAUAGUAUAAUGGUUUAGCAAUGAGCUAGAAAAAUAAACUCUCUUGCUAAUGUAGUAAAUGGGCCAGAAAUAAACUUCUCAGGGAUUUGGGUGGUGGGGUGGGGUGAGGGAGGGGCACACAGAGGGGAUAGUGGAAUUGGAUUUCUGGAAUAAAUGAUCUGAAACCCUUAGCACACUAUAUCUUCAAAAAGCAAUGUCUUCCUUUAUAUAAUGCACGUAUCACCAUCACGAUACGAGAGCAACUCGAAGAAUCUUAACGUAUACCACGGUAAACACCUACGGCACCCAACUCAGUCUACAGCAGGACACCCAAAAGUUAAAUUCACUUUGGCUGUGGCUGUGCUCCAGGUACAUAUUUUCUCAUGAGCUUUGUUUCUUUGUUCUAGAACCAUCCUUCCCAAUAUUCCUUAACAUUGAAAUUAUACAUGUUAAAUUAAUUAUUGUUCAUUUAACUGAUGAGCUGAAACUCACGUCCUUCCUUUUGAAAGCUAAAGUAAUCUUCUAAUAAAAGGUCAGGAAUUAUCAAAUUUACUUGUAAUUAUUACUAAUUCUUCUGUGACUUCUUUUUUUUUUUUUUGAGGUGGAGUCUUGCUCUGUCGCCCAGGCUGGAGUGCAGUGGCACGAUCUCGGCUCAUUGCAAGCUCCACCUUCUGGGUUCACACCAUUCUCCUGCCUCAGUCUCCUCAGCAGCUGGGAUUACAGGCGCCCACUACCAUGCCAGGCUAAUUUUUUUUGUAUUUUUUAGUAGAGACGGGGUUUCACUGUUAACCAGGAUGGUCUCGAUCUCCUAACCUCGUGAUCCGCCUGCCUCGGCCUCCCAAAGUGCUGGGAUUACAGGCGUGAGACACCACGCCCGGCCUCUUCUGUGACUUCUUAACCACAAAUAAAGUCUUGGCCUUGGAAAAAGGAAGAUCUGAAACAGAACAAGGCAAUUAAAAAGUGGGUGGAGGAAGUAUAGGAGUAGUGGAGAAAAAAGAAAGGAAUGGAUUUUCUAAAUUUAAAACACUCUUUGCCCUUUCCUGAAAUAAUGACUUAUAUUCUUUGAGUUCACAAGAGAGUAAUUGGAUAUGCAUGAUGCAAUGCUGGAAUUUUAGGUAUUUUGCCUAAAGGUUAUUAACAAUUAGUACCACUAGGGGAAAAAUCAUAAAGUUAGUUAGAAUAACAACCCUCUCUCAAAGGAUAAUGAAAACUGGACUUGUAAUCUGGUCAUAAUAAAAAUAUAUUAUGUUUAUAUUGGAGCCUCACAUGUCAAGAGGAAAACUCACAAACUAGAAUAUGUCCAACAGGUGGCCAUGACUAAAUGAAGACUGAAAAACAAGUUGUAUGAGGACCAAUGAAGGAAUCUUCCUUUGAAGCAGUAAAGACUGCGAAAAAAAACAUGAAAAACUGUCUUUAGAUAAAUCCUUUAACAGGAAUGGUACACAGAACAGGGAGAUGUUAUAAGUGGAGCUACUGAUGACAGCAUUAGAGCCAAAGGGUGAAAGGCAGAUGUUGAGUCAUUCAAUAGAAGAGGUGUCUGAUCUCUUCCUAUCCAAUGUAGCAGAAUCCAUCCCAUACUAUAUCUGAAAGAUGACCACUUUGCUUUGACAUUUGCAGUGGUACAGAACUCACUAUCUCAAGAAUACCUUCCUCGGGAUGGUAAUAAGUAUGAGAAAUGCCCUUUCUAGUUCUAAAUUUCUUCUCCACAAGACAACUCAUUCCAUUUUCAAACAAUUAUUAGAUCUAUCCAUCUCUUAGUCUUCUAUUUGUCAAGCAAACAUCUCCAAUUCCUCACAUCAUUAUUAAUUCAGUAUUGUGAACCUUGUACCAUUUUAGUCACCAGCUUUGUGGAUAAUCUUUGGAUUGUAGUGUCUGUAACUGACAUCCAAAUUAAGUGCUCUUGAUAUGGUCUAACUAGCAACUGACCCCAUCCAUAUUUCUAUUUCCAAAGCAGAGAAACAAGAAAAUCAAUUGGCCAAUAUAACUGAAUAAAUCCAGGUAAAUACAUAUUUGGCUUUCAAUUAGUCAGGAAGUCUGAAUUUCUAGAGGAUAUUGAAGAUACAGCAUCAGACAAUGCAUUUGUCUGAUUGCUGACAACUUUUAAUUUCCCUGUUCAAGAAAAUCGAUCAAUGUGUGUUAGCUAAACACCUGUUAUGUUCAACCCUGUGUUAGUCAUCAUUUGAUGUGUAACAGAAGUGUAAGGCCAGGUACCUACAAUAUUUGUAGAGUCAAUACUAAGGUACAUGAAAUAAUUUUAGAGUUUUUACAAGAUAUACAUCAUUAUGUAUACUUAUAUGAAAUAGUCUCAAGUUCAGCAGGGAAGACUGGGCCCAGGUGGGCUGAGGAAUGCAUGUGAAGAGGUAGGGAGGCAGGAAACUUGAAGGAUGGUUAGGGCUUGUCUAUUUGGAAUGGAGAGAGAGGCCACAAAGGAGUGCGUGUGUAGAAAUAAUGAGUAAUAAAGGAGGUCAAGGUUAGUAGGGACGUGUGUGGUUACAAAUAGAAAUAUUUGGAUUUGUACCAUAACAUUUCUAUUACAACUUCCUUUCUCCCAUUCCAAACAUGCUUGGUUUUACAGAAAAAACUUCCAGGACUCAGAUUUCCAUGGGUAUUAGUUUGCAAACUAAUCCCUGAUGAGAUAUUAUGAGGAGCUAAGAGAGUGAUGCUAGAAUUCUCAAGUGGCAAUGGCAAAUUUCAGGGCUGACUUCCUGGAUAACCAAUUCUUUUUUUUUAUUCUGAGCAUGGGAAUUUCAGUUCAUCCAGCAGAAGAAAUGUUUUUUGAUAGAUGUGACUUUUGGUACAUUUUGAAUUAUGUCAUCUUGGGGACAAAUGGUCCCAAAAGCCAAGGUCCUAAAUGUGUACAUCUGAUCCAACUCUAAGAACUUUUGCUCAGUUGUGACGUCAAAGAAUUUCUAUUUUAGAGUGGUCUUCUGCAACUGAUACCAUCCAUAUUUCUGUCUCCAAAGCAGAGAAACAAGAAAAUCAAUUUGCCAAUAUAACUGAAUAAAUCCAGGUAAAUACAUAUUUGGCUUUCAAUUAGCCAGGGAGUCUGAAUUUCUAGAGAAUAUUGAAGAGACAGCGUCAGACAAUGCAAUUUCCUUUAAUAGGGACCAUAACCUCAGAGUUGCUGCUCUGUUUUUUAAUAUUGUACAAUUAACUUUUUUUUUUUUUGCAGCACACUCUGCUUAUAGCUUCUGUGGAAACUUAAACAUUAUUCAAUAGAAUAAUUUCCUGGAAAAUCUUUUGAAAGUGGUCACAGCCCUGACCUUGCUCUGGUGCCCUGGGUCCACCAGCAUGCUGUUUCAUUACCUCAGGAAGGUUUGGUGCCAAGAGACAGUCCAAGAGUUAGUGCAUAAAGAAAGCUAGGUUCAUAAAAGAAUUAAUAUCUGCCUUCUUUCAAGGAGGGAAACUGCCACUUCCAACCAUUUUAUGCAUCUAUCACUUCUCUUCUAUCUUCAUCAUUCAACCCUUCAACUGGCCUACCUAGAUGACAGGUAAAAAUUAUAGAUUUUUAACUCUUAAGAAAUAACUGCCGAAGUCAUUUCUUCCAAACCAUUCUCAUUACCAAUGGGAAACUCAGGCCCAGAAAGCCUAAAUGACUUUUGCAAGACCACAGAGUAAGUAGCAGAGUCAGGACUUAAACUCCACAUUGCAGAAGAUGAACCAGGGAUGAUAUUUUUAAAACUUAGCAAUGGUAUGACAAAAUCACCAAACAGUUAGAAUAGAGCCUCUGAUUGUACUGGUGUGCCAUUAAAUACCAGCCCCAACUGGAUUACAGUGUAUAUCAGUAAUACUUUAAGGGAUAAAGAGAAAAAAUGUGCCACUUACUAUCAAGCUAUUUAAAGGAGCUAGGUAAUAAAAUAAUCAUAAUUUAUUUUUACUGUUGGUUCUUCCCUUUUUCAUCUUUUUGCCUUUUUUUUCCAUUGUCUUUCUUGUUACUAAUCCUGUGAAAAUUCACCCUCUGUUUGGCAGCCCGGGUCAUUGUUAUUUGUGCUAAGCUCCUAUAUUAUUAGUCUGUUAUCAUAUUGCCAUAAAAAAACUACUUGAAGCCAGGCGAGGUGGCUCAUGUCUGUAAUCCUAGCACUUUGGGAGGCCGAGGCAGGCAGAUCACUUGAGGUCAGGGGUUUGAAACCCGACUGGCCAACAUGGUGGAACCCUGUCUCUACUAAAAGUACAAAAAUUAGCUGGAAAUUGCUUGAACCCAGGAGGUGAAGGUUGCAGUGGGCCGAGAUCGUGCCACUACACUCCAGCCUGGGCAACAGAACAAGAGUCCGUCUCCAAAAAAAAUAAAAACAAACAAACAAACAAACAAACAAAAAAAAACAGCACAACUACUUGAGACUGGGUGAUUUAUACAGAAAAAAACAUUUUAUUGAUUCACAGUUCCAUAGGCUGUAUAGGAAGCAUGGGUGGGGAGGCCUCAGGAAACUUGCAAUCAUGGUGGAAGCCAAAGCAGGCACAUCUUACAUGGCCAGAGGAAGAAGCAAGCAAAGGUGGAGGUGCUACACACUUUUCAACCACCAGAUCUCAUGAGAACUCACGCACUAUCACGAGAACAGCAAGGGGGAAAUUCACCUUCAUGAUCCAGUCACCUCCCACUGGGCCCCUCCUCCAAUUCUGGGGAUUAUAAUUCCACAUGAGAUUUGGGCAGGGACACAAAUCCAAACCAUAUAAGCUCCAUUCUGCAUUCAAGUGUAUGUUGGUCUUGCCAAAAUUAUCAAUACCUUCUCCGUAAAUACCACUUUCAAGCCUUGUAGGUUAAGCCCUGAUUAUGUUUGUAAAAGUAGCUUGAUCUACAUGUCUACAAUUGUUCUCUAAUUUGCUUUAUCCAAAUGGAAAAAAAAACACACAAUAUUUUAGGCCUUGAUUUUCAUCAUGAAUUUUUAAAAAUCUAAAAUUGCCUCUUCAUUGUGUUAUUUCAAAAUCAUGAGAUAUCCUUUCAUUGCUUCUACUGAUAAGGUUGUUUGUAACUCAAAAUCAUAAUUGGUAGAUCAACAGAAUAAAAUUAUGAGAUACAAAUAUACAUUUGAUUAUUAUUGCUACUGGUUAGAGCCUUCACUAUGACAUGCAGUGACAUGCUCACAGAAAUGACAAGCCCUAAAACUUCUUGCUUUUUGGUUAAACACUUUAUGAUUAAACAUUUCAAUCUUUAAACUUUCUAAUAGUAUCUUGAAAUUGUGUAUCUCAUUUUAACAUUUUUAAGCCACUUAGACAAAUGACUUUUUGCCAUGCUUGCUUGACUUUUUUUCUUGCAUGGACUUACAGAUAAAGGUGGUCUCAUCCCUAAUGAACAUAUGAGGCCACAAGAAUUUCUCCUUUUUUUUUUUUUUUUUUUUUGUUGUUGUUGUUGUUUAUUUUUGAUACAGGGUCUUGCUCUGUCACCCAGGCUGGAGUACAGUGGCAGGAACAAAGCUCACUGCAGCCUCAGAGUCCUGGACUCAAACCAUACUCCCACCUCAGCCUCCUGAGUAGCUGAGACCCAGGAGCACUCACCACUUCCAGCUAAUUUUUUGUAGAGACAGGAUCUUAAACUCCUGGGUUCAAGCAGACUGCCCACCUCUGUCUCCCAUGUGCUGUGAUUACAGGAGUGAGCCACCAUGCUUGGACAGUUUCUCCUCUUGAAUCAUCAACAGUCCCUGUAAAGUCUCAAGAAAAGUGUUUGGAGUAUCCAUAAUGUGCUAAGUCACUUAGGAACAAAGUUACACAAAACACAUCCCCAGUUUUUGUCUCUAUGCUUUCAAGAUGGGUGAAACUUUAUGUUUGAAGUUUCAUGUUUUAUGCCAAGCAUGAUGAGAGAUAGAGGAAUGGGAAGACUUGGUCUUACAGGUUAAAGAUGUGAAACAUACAAAACAUGCUCUCAUGAGAUAAUUAGACAAACAAGUCAGUGUGAUUGAGAGCAACAUGCUGGGAACUGGUUUAGAGGCUCCUGGAGGUAAGGACAGAGUCACUGUUACAUGUUUGGGGUAUUUUGCUGAAGCAUCGCAGAGGCAGCAUUGUCCUCGUCAACAGGAGAUGGGGCGGGAGGAAAGGAGAGCAGAGGGCUGCAACCAAAGCAACCCAGGGUCCAGGUGACAGAUCUCCCCUAUUGGUAAAAUGUGAUUCAUGUGGUAGCACCGCACUGGGAGCUUCAGUACCUUUAACUUUCUCUCUCAGGCUUUUACACCUGGUGAACGUCUAGAAUAACUGCCACAGAAAAUACAUCUAUGACAUUUAAUCACUGAGUGUUCGAGAGAAGGCAAAGCCCGGACACCAAGUAAGCCAGGUACCCCUGAGGCAAACUCCAGAGGCUUCCCUGGGCCGUGAAACCAGCCAAAGAAGGCAAAAUUCACCCACCCUCCAAAAGACGUUUGCGUUCCCACGCAUGUUCUCCGCCCUGAGAUAGCUUAGAACACAGCUCUACCAACGACUUUUCAUUUCCAUUAACCUAUUCCUGAUUCUUUGAUUCAAGGAACCUUGCCAUCCUUAGCUCUUUGGAUUAUUUAUGAGGUCUGAUUUAUAAUACAAAAUUAUACAGUGUACCAUAGUUAAAACCUUGAAGGAAAAAAUGCAUUUUGUAUUUCUUCUUCUUGGAGAGGCCCAAACACCCCUCCCCAGGGUUGGAAAGGAGAGUGGAGGUAGGGUAAUGGAACUCCCUCUCAGGCCUCUGAAUAUGGAGAAAUUAAGAAGAAUGGGAUGGGGUUGGGGGACAGAGGUAGUAAGCAAACAAAUGACUUAUUUUUAAUCUAGAGUUACCCAUUUGGAGAGAGAUACAGGGUUAUAUCCUAACGGUACCUUUUUAAAAAAUAAGUCAUAAGUAUGCUCAUGCCCUAACAAGUUAGUGAAUUUUUCCAGUAAAAUUAAAAUUAAAUAGAAAGCCAUGGUAAAUUACCCAUUUCAUUUCUCCUUCUAGAUUUAAAAAAAAAAAAAGAGGCACUUUGUCGCUUCUUACUGUGAGUGCACUUCAGCCUUAAUACAUGCAUUUAUGUCAAGGGGGCCAUUUACACUGUUGUCUGCUGGAGUUUUUCUUCUUUCAACUUAGUAGGGAAUAUUUGUAAUCUUUAUUACCCCAAAUAAAUC
Molecule: long non-coding RNA, 8447 nt
Filed under: Homo sapiens (human)
Lineage: Eukaryota; Metazoa; Chordata; Mammalia; Primates; Hominidae
Description: HSALNT0040099
Source: RNAcentral